CUCGCCUUCUGCCAGAAGUCUGGCGGAUCUCAGUUGUGGCAGUCGAUUGUCCAGCUUCUCCCGAUCCUCCGUAUUGGGACCUCCAUCUCGGUGGGCUCCAGAGCAUCGACGCUGUUCUGGUUUAAUCGUUGGGCCGGGGACAUUCCCUUUGCGGCUCGCUUCCCCGGCCUCUUCUCUAUCUCCGCCGAUCCCGUGAUUUCUGUUGAUGGGGCCCUUCUUGACUUAGGGCGCCUUGCUUUCCGACGGCCUUUUGGUCCCUUGGAAUCCGCUGCCUGGCGUGAGUUGCUUGACUGUUUUGCUCUCCACGAACCGAUGGUGGAUGGUGGCCCGGACCUAGUGCGCUAGCGCCUUGAGCCUUCGGGUCAAUUCUCCACCAAGUCGCUGUACCUGGCCAUCGCUCCAUCUUCCGUCCCCCUCCCCCUAUCAAUGGUGUGGUCCAUCCGCCUGCCCCUGAAGAUCCGUAUCUUCAUGUGGCAAUGGAUUCGCGGGCGGGUCCCGUCCGGGGUGGAGGUGCACAAGCGAAACGGCCUGGGUACUGGCAUUUGCCCGCUCUGUGGGGUCGCCAAAGACUCGAACCACAUUUUCUUCUCAUGCGUGUCCGCUCAGUUCCUCUGGAGCUGCUUUCGCGAAGCGGUCGGUGGAAAUUGGUGCCACACCAACUUCCCUGACUUAUUUGCCGAACUCCAGAUGUCCCCCGUGACUUCUCGCCACAUUAGGUGGCUUGAGAUUGGGGUCCUCGCAUGGACCCUCUGGACUGUCCGCAAUAAGCUUGUGAUUCAGCGCACUCCUCUUCGACGGGCUAUUGACGCUCUUUUCAAACUCUCGGGUUUCUUGCAGCUUUGGCGGCCGCUUAGCUGCCCCCGGACCGCGACGCCAUCUCAGCCUUCAUCGCCGACCUUCGCUCGAUGGCCGUCCGUCUGUCGCCGCCGCCGCCGCCGCCACCGCCGGAACCAGACUAGGCGCUAUCUUUGUCUGGCGUGUUCUGUUUUUUAUUUUCUGGGCUUCUUGAGCUGUGCCCUCCGUAGAAGCUCUGUACUUUGUUGUGAGACUUGGGUGUGUGUGUGGACUUGA
RNAcentral lists this ribosomal RNA (1071 nucleotides) under Triticum aestivum (bread wheat). RNAcentral describes it as "partial small subunit ribosomal RNA". The record is from RNAcentral. Lineage: Eukaryota; Viridiplantae; Streptophyta; Magnoliopsida; Poales; Poaceae.